This 274-nucleotide ribosomal RNA is filed under the name uncultured bacterium. RNAcentral describes it as "partial 16S ribosomal RNA". It matches the Rfam family "Bacterial small subunit ribosomal RNA", at positions 523 to 796 of the family's 1533-position model. The record is from RNAcentral.
AUACGGAGGGUGCAAGCGUUAUUCGGAAUCACUGGGCGUAAAGGACGCGUAGGCGGGUUGGCAAGUCAGAUGUGAAAUCCUACAGCUUAACUGUAGAACUGCAUUUGAAACUGCUAACCUAGAGUAUGGGAGGGGGAGAUGGAAUUAGUGGUGUAGGGGUAAAAUCCGUAGAUAUCACUAGGAAUACCGAAAGCGAAGGCGAUCUCCUGGAACAUAACUGACGCUAAGGCGUGAAAGCGUGGGGAGCAAACAGGAUUAGAUACCCGCGUAGUCC